RNAcentral lists this ribosomal RNA (303 nucleotides) under uncultured Spirochaetaceae bacterium. RNAcentral describes it as "bacterial SSU rRNA". It matches the Rfam family "Bacterial small subunit ribosomal RNA", at positions 1082 to 1382 of the family's 1533-position model. Lineage: Bacteria; Pseudomonadati; Spirochaetota; Spirochaetia; Spirochaetales; Spirochaetaceae. The record is from RNAcentral.
AAGUCCCGCAACGAGCGCAACCCCGUACUGCCAGUUACUAACAGGUAACGCUGAGGACUCUGGCGGAACUGCCCGGUGGACAAACCGGAGGAAGUGGGGAUGACGUCAAGUCAUCAUGGCCCCUAUGUCCAGGGCUACACACGUGCUACAAUGGGCGAUACAGAGUGACGCGAAGCCGCGAGGUGGAGCAAAUCGCAGAAAAUCGCUCUCAGUUCGGAUUGGAGUCUGAAACCCGACUCCAUGAAGGUGGAAUCGCUAGUAAUCGCGCAUCAGCAUGGCGCGGUGAAUACGUUCCCGGGCCUU